CAUGCCAUGGCCUCUAAAAUGUCAGCUGCUCCCUAGCAUGCUACUACCGCGUAGCAUG
Molecule: unclassified non-coding RNA, 58 nt
Filed under: Severe acute respiratory syndrome coronavirus 2
Lineage: Riboviria; Orthornavirae; Pisuviricota; Pisoniviricetes; Nidovirales; Coronaviridae
Description: RNA (26-MER) from Severe acute respiratory syndrome coronavirus 2 (PDB 7CXM, chain J)
Source: RNAcentral